AGUUCGAUCAUGGCUCAGAUUGGAACGCUGGCGGGAUGCUUACACAUGCAAGUCGAACGGCAGCACGGACUUCGGUCUUGGUGGCGAGUGGCGAACGGUGAGUAAUGUAUCGGAACGUGCCUAGUAGCGGGGAUAACUACGCGAAAGCGCUAAUACCGCAUACGCCCUUCGGGGGAAAGCGGGGACCUUCGGGCCUCGCAAUUAUUAGAGCGGGCCGAUAUCGGAUUAGCUAGUUGGUGGGUAACGGCUCACCAAGGCGAUGAUCCGUAGUUGAAGUUUGAGAGGACGAAUUGGCCACACUGGGACUGAGACACGGCCCAGACUCCUACGGGAGGCAGCAGUGGGGAAUUUUGGACAAUGGGGGAAACCCUGAUCCAGCCAUCCCGCGUGCGAUGGCCUUCGCUGUAAAGCACUUUGGCAGGAAAAAGAAACGGUACGAUAAUACCCCGUAACUGACGGUACCCAGCAUCGGGCAACGGCUAACUACGUGCCAGCAGCCGCGGUAAUACGUAGGGUGCAAGCGUUAAUCGGAAUUACUUUGGGCGCGUGUGCAGGCGGUUCGGAAAGAAAGAUGUGAAAUCCCAGAGCUUAACUUUGAACUGCAUUAACUACCGAGCUAGAGUGUGUCAGAGGGAGGAAUUCCGCGUGUAGCAGUGUAGCUGCAGGGAUAUGCGGAGGAACACCGAGCUUACGAAGGCAGCCUGAUAACACUGACGCUCAUGCACGAGUGGGAUAAAUGGAUUAGAUACCCUGGUAGUCCACGCCCUAAACGAUGUCACUAGCUGUUGGGGCCUUCGCCUGGUAGCGCAGCUAACGCGUGAAGUUGACCGCCUGGGGAGUACGGUCGCAAGAUUAAAACUCAAAGGAAUUGACGGGGACUCCGCACAAGUGUGGAUGAUGUGGAUUAAUUCGAUGCAACGCGAAAAACCUUACCGUACCCUUGACAUGUCUGGAAUCCCGAAGAGAUUUGGGAGUGCUCGCAAGAGAACCGGAACACAGGUGCUGCAUGGCUGUCGUCAGCUUCGUGUCGUGAGAUGUUGGGUUAAGUCCCGCAACGAGCGCAACCCUUGUCAUUAGUUGCUACGAAAGGGCACUCUAUCGAGACUGCCGGUGACAAACCGGGAGGAAGGUGGGGAUGACGUCAAGUCUCAUGGCUCCUUAUGGGUAGGGCUUCACACGUCAUACAAUGGUCGGGACAGAGGGUCGCCAACCCGCGAGGGGGAGCGAACUGAAACCUGAUCGUAACUGGAUCGGCCUGCAACUCGACUGCGUGAAGUCGGAAUCGCUAGCAAUCGCGGAUCAGCAUGUCGUGAAUACGUUCCCGGUCUUGCACACACCGCCCGUCACACCAUGGGGAGUGGGUUUUACCAGAAGUAGUUAGCCUAACCGUAAGGAGGGCGAUUGGCACGAGGAUUCGCUGACUGGGGUGAAGUCGUGUAUCGCUGCA
Molecule: ribosomal RNA, 1447 nt
Filed under: uncultured Bordetella sp.
Lineage: Bacteria; Pseudomonadati; Pseudomonadota; Betaproteobacteria; Burkholderiales; Alcaligenaceae
Description: partial 16S-23S ribosomal RNA intergenic spacer
Rfam family: Bacterial small subunit ribosomal RNA
Source: RNAcentral